GUGAGGAAGCCUUGAAAUCAGCACUACUGCAGGAGGAACCUGGGAGAGGCUGGAUAACCCGGGAGAGGCUGGAGAGACCCUGAACUGACACCCCAGCCCUGUCCCAAGCCGCCGUUGAUCUUCCACGCCUCCAUGUCCCAGGUGUAGGUUAAACCCUUGAAGUCCCCUCCCCAGCCUCAGCACCAGCCUCAGCCCCUCUGACGACCUACCAUGCCCCUGAUCGUGGAUGCUGUGUGGGCCGUGUGGAGCAUCGGGGCCGGGGUCUAUGACUACUUCCACACCAGUGCCAUGGAGGAACGCAUCGGCAACCUGGAGAGCGUCCUGACCAUCCACCAGUGUGUCAUAGCAGCUCUGUCCGCAGGCCUCGUCCUCCUCAUGACCUACAUACUGUGGAGAAAACACUGAAGCCAUGGUUGUAUUCAGUCAGUGAGAUGGCACCGGGGGGGUAAGUUUCCCCUAGGUACAGAUCUUGGAUCAUUUCCCCCUCCCUCAAUCCUAUCUGUAACCAGUAGUGGGGGAAAAUACUAAACUGACCCAAGAUCAGCAUCUAGGGGCAACUUCACCCUACUCUAGCGGAGAUGGGAGAUGAGACGGUCCUAGAUACUCCAGACCUAAGGACUGCAUUACGGAUAGCAUCGGCUACUCACCAGACUAACAGCCAGUCCCAAAUCACUCCCUAACCCUCCCCCAUUGUCUUAUGUCAUAUCAUGCGAUGACUGUCAGUUUAGGGGCGGGGCAUCGUGUAGGAGUGACGCCACCUAGCAUAAGAUAAGGACCUUGGCACUAACCCUUAGGUGUUGGCAGAUCUGAAGGGUCUUGAUAGGUAUAAGCAGUGUAACGCUGGAUCAUCACAUUACUACUGGAGCUCAACAGACAGUCCUCAACCCCUCCCUAGUCCUUCCCCUCGGCCCUGACCCUCAAAUGAACAGUCUGGAUAGGUAAUGACAACUGGGUAGGUAUAGGAUUCUGUUUCAUCAAAGCACUACUAUUGGAAGACGAGCUCAAGAGACCACGAGGAGUUGCUUGUGGAAGCUUCCUGGUGGAAAGUAGCCCUGGUAUACAGUGCAAAGGCUCUAUCAGAGCUGGUUGGAGUAGAGUCAUCCCUCCAGGUCUCGUUCGUCAUUCUGCCGUUACUUGUGCAAAGGCUCUAUCAGAGCUUGUUAGUAGAGUCAUCCCUCCAGGUCUCGUUCGUCACUCUGCCGUUACUUGUGCAAAGGCUCUAUCAGAGCUUGUUAGUAGAGUCAUCCCUCCAGGUCUCGUUCGUCACUCUGCCGUUACUUAUGCAAAGGCUCUAUCAGAGCUGGUUGGAGUAGAGUCAUCCCUCCAGGUCUCGUUCAUUACUCUGCCGUUACUUGGAACGGGAUUGAGAGGAAGUCUGGGAGCUGAGGGAAGCUGGAGAGGGGUUCUUCAAUCUGAGAGCUCGAGUGCCGUGUUGACUGUAGCCUGGUCCCCAGAUCUGUUUGUGCUAUUGUGUCAACUCCUUGCCAUGCCAAACAUGGAAUUGACAUGAUAGCGCCAACAGAUCUGGGACCAGUCUAUCAUGACCGGCUGUGAUCAGAAAACACUGUAUUUUGCUACUGUGUGGAUACUGACGUCUCUAGCCUGGUCCCUGAUCUGUUUGUGCUGUCUUGCCAACAAUGACCAUAAGGACCGUAGGCGUGGGCAAGACCAUACAAACAGAUCUAGGACCAGGCUAACUCAGGCCAUCAUCCAUUGAAUGUGAUUGAUUCAUUUUGGGACUGUUAUAUUGCCGAAAGGGAUUUGUGAAACAUGGCUUCUGUCCAUGUCACUGUAGAAUAAGCCAACAUAAUAAUGACACUGUUGGGACUAAACAUUAUAAACCGCUUUUCUUAAAAAGGUGUUUAUCUUUCUCUUACAUGGAAGAUUUCAGACAGUUUAAGCCUAGUCCUUAGAAUAAAAAGCCUGGUCAAUGGAGAAUCUCCGUUAAGUUAAUAUAUUUAUAUUUUUUUUUAGCCCAGGACUAGACUUAAACUGUCUGAAAUAUUCCAUGUAAGAGAAAGAUAAACACCUUUUUUUUUUAAAAAGUUACUGUCGAGGUUAAACAUUGUUACACGUUUCCAUGACGAUGACACCUUUCAACGGUUUUCUCUGUAUUUGUACUUCAUAACAUCUCCUUUUUAAAAUCAUGCUUUUAUCAUUGUUGGGUCUGUUCCCUGUCUCCCUGGUUCACUAUUAUCAUGUCUGUCGGCCAUUGUUGUCGACUCAAGUGCUACUGUGCGUAUUUUGCUGAAUCACUACCUGGUUGUUGGUUUCUAUGUGAGCAAACGGUAUUCAUGUCAGGUUAAUAAAUAAUGUGAUUAACUCUGCACUAUUCUUUCCUCCUUAAUGUAUGUGAAGUAUUCGUUUACAAACUAUUGUAAUCAUGUACAAACUAUGAUUUGUAAUUCCUUUGAAAGUUGGGUGCCAUGCCAGUGGUCACAGCUGGUUGUCAUGACGUCACUGAGAUGCUGACCUGUAGGUUUUCACACCAACCCUGUUCCUGGAGAACUACUGUCCUGUAGGUUGUAACUCCAACCCUGUUCCUGGAGAACUAUGGUCCUGUAGGUUGUAACUCCAACCCUGUUCCUGGAGAACUACUGUCCUGUAGGUUUUCACACCAACCCUGUUCCUGGAGAACUACUGGCCUGUAGGUUGUAACUCCAACCCUGUUCCUGGAGAACUAUGGUCCUGUAGGUUGUAACUCCAACCCUGUUCCUGGAGAACUACUGGCCUGUAGGUUGUAACUCCAACCCUGUUCCUGGAGAACUACUGGCCUGUAGGUUGUAACUCCAACCCUGUUCCUGGAGAACUAUGGUCCUGUAGGUUGUAACUCCAACCCUGUUCCUGGAGAACUACUGGCCUGUAGGUUGUAACUCCAACCCUGUUCCUGGAGAACUACUGUCCUGUAGGUUGUAACUCCAACCCUGUUCCUGGAGAACUACUGGCCUGUAGGUUGUAACUCCAACCCUAAUCUAGCACACAUGAUUCUAAUAAUUAGCUGGUUGAUAAACUGAAUCAGGUUUGUUGUAACUGGGGUUGGAGUGUAAACCUACAGGAGGGUAGCUCUCCAGGAACAGGGUUGGAAUUAACCUACAGGAGGGUAGCUCUCCAUGAACAGGGUUGGAGGCCCCUGUCAUAGUCUCACGUGACUCCUGUUUCCAACAUAAACAACAUGAGCCUUGUCCCAAAUGGCAACCUAUUCCCUACAUAGUGCACUACGUUUAACCAGAUCCCUAUGGGCCCUGGUCAAAAGUAGUGCACUACAUAAGGAAUUAGGGUGCUAUUUGUAAUGGAGCCAUGGACUCAGGAAUGUCCACAGAUAAAUAUGGUCCAUCCAGGUCAAAGAUUCUUCUUCUCUUGAUUCGUAUCAGGGAUUUAGAAUGUCAGGAAGAGACUGCUUCUUCCUUCCAGAGCAACUGUCGACUUGCCCAGGAUUGCUGCUUCUAUGGUGCCUGCCCCCUAAAUAUGUCAUCAGACCAAGUUGCUGGAUAAAUAUAUCUGUCUUUCUCUCAUUAUACCAGACUAUUUGCUCAGUCGGGCCUAUACCCGUCCUCAUUAUGUUUGUGGGUCAGUCCAUUCUUAUUAGUACCAUACUCUUUACUUCCACAUGUCUGAUAUCUACUCUGUUUAUUAGGUACACCUAUUAAGAACCGGGUCGGACCACCCGUUGCCUCCAGAACAGCCCGAAUUAUUCAGGGCAUGGAUUCUACAAGGUGUGGCUUUCAAACGCUGCUCAAUUGGGAUCAAGGGAUCUAACGUGCGCCAGGAAAACAUUCCCCACACCAUUACACCACCACCAGUCUGUACCGUUGACACCAGGCAGGAUGUGGCGAUGGACUCACUCUGCUUACGCCCAAUCCUGACUCUGCCACCAGUCUGUACCGUUGACACCAGGCAGGAUGUGGCGAUGGACUCAUGCUGCUUACGCCCAAUCCUGACUCUGCCGUCAGUCUGUACCGUUGACACCAGGCAGGAUGUGGCGAUGGACUCAUGCUGCUUACGCCCAAUCCUGACUCUGCCGUCAGUCUGUACCGUUGGCACCAGGCAGGAUGUGGUCGUGGACUCAUGCUGCUGACGCCCAAUCCUGACUCUGCCACCAGUCUGUACCGUUGACACCAGACAGGAUGUGGUCAUGGACUCAUGCUGCUUACGCCCAAUCCUGACUCUGCCGUCAACAGGAACUGGGAUUCAAUUGGACCAGAGAAUGGUUUUCCACUCCUCAAUUGUCCAGUGUUGGUGAUGGCGUGCUCACUGGAGACACUUCCUUGUUUUGAGCUGAUAGGAGUGAAUUCGGUGUGGUCGUCUGCUGCGAUAGCCAAUCCGUGACGAGGACCCGUUCUGAACACCACUGUUACACUGUGCUGUUAUUUGUCUGUUUGUGGCCUGACUUUUAGCUUGCACGAUUCUUGCCAUUCUUCUUCGACCCAUCUCUCAUCAACAAGCUGUUUUCUCCCACAGGACCUGUUGCUGACUGGAUGCUUGUUGAUUUGUCACACCAUUCUCUGUAAACUCUAGACACUGUCGUGCGUGGAAACACCCAGGAACAGAGAGAAAGAGGGAAGUGGGAAUCACAGGAACAGAGAGAAAGAGUGCAGUGGGAAUCUACACCUGCAUUGCUUGCUGUUUGGAGUUUUAGGCUGGGUUUCUGUACAGCAUCUUGAGAUAUCAGCUGAUGUACGAAUGGCUAUAUAAAUAAAUUUGAUUUGAUUCACGGGAACAGAGAGAAAGAAUGCAGUGGGAAUCACAGGAACAGAGAGAAAGAGUGAAGUGGGAAUCACAGGAACAGAGAGAAAGAAUGCAGUGGGAAUCACAGGAACAGAGAGAAAGAAGGAAGUGGGAAUCCCAAGAAUCGUGACAUCCGAAGUGUGGUGUUCUGAACUCGGUUCAGGGUGUCAUCUCCGGGAUGUCGAUGGAAGCUGAGGUCAGAUACCUAGAAGAGAAGAGAAGAGCAGGUGGGGUUAGUUUCCUGUCACCUGACCAGAACAAUGAAUGGAGAAAGGGAAAAGAGUCUAUUGGUUCUUAUUUAUUUGUAUUUAUUUUUUACAAAGAACACCUCCCUACCACAGGAGGUUGGUGGCACCUUUAAUUGGGGAGGACGGGCCCUGGUCAAAAGUAGCAUGGACCACAGGAGGUUGGUGGCACCUUUAAUUGGGGAGGACGGGCCCUGGUCAAAAGUAGCAUGGACCACAGGAGGUUGGUGGCACCUUUAAUUGGGGAAGACGGGCCCUGGUCAAAAGUAGCAUGGACCACAGGAGGUUGGUGGCACCUUUAAUUGGGGAAGACGGGCCCUGGUCAAAAGUAGCAUGGACCACAGGAGGUUGGUGGCACCUUUUAAUUGGGGAGGACGGGCCCUGGUCAAAAGUAGCAUGGACCACAGGAGGUUGGUGGCACCUUUAAUUGGGGAAGACGGGCCCUGAUCAAAAGUAGCAUGGACCACAGGAGGUUGGUGGCACCUUUAAUUGGGGAAGACGGGCCCUGGUCAAAAGUAGCAUGGACCACAGGAGGUUGGUGGCACCUUUAAUUGGGGAAGACGGGCCCUGGUCAAAAGUAGCAUGGACCACAGGAGGUUGGUGGCACCUUUUAAUUGGGGAGGACGGGCCCUGGUCAAAAGUAGCAUGGACCACAGGAGGUUGGUGGCACCUUUAAUUGGGGAAGACGGGCCCUGGUCAAAAGUAGCAUGGACCACAGGAGGUUGGUGGCACCUUUUAAUUGGGGAGGACGGGCCCUGGUCAAAAGUAGCAUGGACCACAGGAGGUUGGUGGCACCUUUAAUUGGGGAAGACGGGCCCUGGUCAAAAGUAGCAUGGACCACAGGAGGUUGGUGGCACCUUUUAAUUGGGGAGGACGGGCCCUGGUCAAAAGUAGCAUGGACCACAGGAGGUUGGGCCCUGGUCAAAAGUAGCAUGGACCACAGGAGGUUGGUGGCAGCUUUAAUUGGUGAGGACGGGCGAAGGUCAGGGCUGUGAUUGUGGUGGAGAUCAUGAUCCAGAGUUGUUAAAGUGCCCUGUAGUAACAGGGUGAAGGAAGUUGAACCGGACGAAGGUCAGGACGGUCCAUCAGAUCUCCUAUGGGGAUGCAACCAAAAGAGUUGAGGAAGCAAGUGACAGUGUUGAAGGUAUGAUACGCAGAUGCAACACAGCCCGCGGGUCAAGCAAGACAACAGUGUGUUAAAAAGGUGGGUUUUAUAGCAUUUAUUACAACUGUUAUUAAU
RNAcentral lists this long non-coding RNA (6210 nucleotides) under Oncorhynchus mykiss (rainbow trout). Its description in RNAcentral is "lncRNA (ENSOMYG00000066234.1)". Lineage: Eukaryota; Metazoa; Chordata; Actinopteri; Salmoniformes; Salmonidae. The record is from RNAcentral.